GACGAACGCUGGCGGCGUGCUUAACACAUGCAAGUCGAACGGAAAGGCCCUGCUUUUGUGGGGUUCUCGAGUGGCGAACGGGUGAGUAACACGUGAGUAACCUGCACUUGAAUUUGGGAUAACUUCAGGAAACUGGGGCUAAUAUCGGAUAGGAGCUACUGCUGCAUGGUGGGGGUUGGAAAGUUUCGGCGGUUGGGGAUGGACUCGCGGCUUAUCAGCUUGUUGGUGGGGUAGUGGCUUACCAAGGCUUUGACGGGUAGCCGGCCUGAGAGGGUGACCGGCCACAUUGGGACUGCGAUACGGCCCAGACUCCUACGGGAGGCAGCAGUGGGGAAUAUUGCACAAUGGGCGGAAGCCUGAUGCAGCAACGCCGCGUGCGGGAUGACGGCCUUCGGGUUGUAAACCGCUUUCGCCUGUGACGAAGCGUGAGUGACGGUAAUGGGUAAAGAAGCACCGGCUAACUACGUG
RNAcentral lists this ribosomal RNA (468 nucleotides) under uncultured bacterium. Its description in RNAcentral is "partial 16S ribosomal RNA". It matches the Rfam family "Bacterial small subunit ribosomal RNA", at positions 28 to 507 of the family's 1533-position model. The record is from RNAcentral.